CUCCAUAGUACCAGCUGACUCAGUCUAGAAUCUUGGUGUGCUUGCAGGCUUUGAAGAACAAGCUGCCAUGAAUCCUGCAGCUACAAGGAAAUGAACUCUAUUAACUUGAGUGAGCUUAAAACUAGAUCCUUCCCCAGUCAAGCCUCCAGGUGAGAAUUCAAUCCUGGCUGGCACCUGGAUUGCAGCUUACAGAAGACCCAGCUAAGGCCAUGUCUGGACUUUAAAUCCACAGGAACUGCAAGAGAACUGUUUGAUACACGCAACCAGGACUGUAUGAGAGGCUGGAAACGUAUCUAUCAGUACUACUUAUCUGUAGUAAAGACUUUUUUAAGCUCAUUUAUGAUUGCACAACCUAAAUAACCAUACAUGGCUGGGCCUGGGAAAGGCAGAAAGGCAGAUGGAUGGUAUCAGAAGUGGGACCUGCAGUGGGGCAUCUAGCAACCCCCAGGAGCAUUGAGUGACCAGGCUUGGGACCCACCGGGCGCAGGGUGUCCAUUGUUCUCUCGAAGCAACUGAGAAUUGUGGAUAUUCUUCAUUAUUCCAUCAUCAUCUCAAACCUCUUGGGUAUAGUGUUUGACUACUACUGUGACCAUAAAUUCCAAUAAAACCUAGGAAAAAUGAAACCACUACAUUAACUGAAAGGGAUAAGACAUGAUGGACAGAAAUUUCCAUGCAAUUAUUCCAUUCUGGUGAGAUUAGAAGGUGCUAAGCAGAUAAAGAAAUCAUCUUAUCAAGAAGGAAAAGUACCAUUUACUGAAGAAGGUCUGCUAAACUUUAAUCAUGACUGAAAAUAUAAAAAGACACUUUAAAUGGAUAAAUGCAGCUAUUGCACACAAUUGACAUGGCUGUAGAGAUGACAGAGUGAAGAGGUAUUUGAUCAGUCAUUUGUUAUAAAAGCUCAGGGAAAACAAAAAUUUCUACUUAAAAAUUUCUCUUUAUUGCUUUCUCAUUUUCUUUGACUUGCUAAAUUCACAGUUAAAUCACAUCCAUAUGUUCUCAGUUUUAACUGCUACCAUAUUUCUAACAUCACCCUUUUCUCGGCUAGAAAAAUGACUCCAUGUCACUUCCAAUGCCUCCUUUUAUGUUCGUGUUUGACAGAGAGUGCGCACAUUUAGGGUCUGUGCAGUGGGGA
RNAcentral lists this long non-coding RNA (1132 nucleotides) under Homo sapiens (human). RNAcentral's name for it is "HSALNT0347232". The record is from RNAcentral. Lineage: Eukaryota; Metazoa; Chordata; Mammalia; Primates; Hominidae.